Molecule: RNA transcript, 1090 nt
Organism: Erigeron canadensis
Lineage: Eukaryota; Viridiplantae; Streptophyta; Magnoliopsida; Asterales; Asteraceae
Exons: 10
Source: RefSeq, a predicted model, not a curated record
AUUACCUCUUGAUCAUCUUGCUGGGUUAAAUCACUUCUUCUCCGAUUACACAAAUGAGAAAGAUGGAUGAUUCGAGAUAAGGGUUUUCGUUCUUUGAAAAAAUCGGCCAUAUGCCUGGUGUCAAGAGUAUAUAUCGUGAGCUACAAUGCCACAUAAUCGAAUUGUCAAUCGGAAGUAAAUAUGGAUAUGAGUAUGCAUAUAUAACAACAGUGGAAUUCAAACUCUACCUGAAUUGGAUGGCAAGGAAAUAUGGAUAUGAGGAUUAUGCAUUCCAACAGUGAAGUCCAAAUUCCACCUAUGACUACACAUGAAUGAAUGCUAAAAAGACGACACAAAUGGGAAUCACAAUAAUUUAGGCUACCUUACCACCAUGUCUAUCUUUUCGACCUGCAAUAUCAGUCGUCAUUCAAUCUCGAUGUAAUCUACAACUAGCUAGUGUUCGUUGCACUAAAGUUGUUCGGAAUGUGAACUUGGAGUUGCGCCAUGACUAUUUGUUUCCGUGGAUAGGAGCAAGGGAACUUGAACGUAUGAAGAACACAACUCGUGAAAUUGGUAGGAAGAAUGGAUCGAUUGUUGGUUAUGAUUCCGUAUAUGCUGUCUAUAUAACAGAUAAGAGGCCAAGGUCGAUAUAUGAAAUUCAUGAUGCAUGAGAGGCGGAAGGAUAUUCCUUUGAUUGUUAAUGGUGCCUCUAGCAUAGCUCAACCUGGUGGGCUAGCAUGUCUCUCCUCAUAUGGCAUCAAGGAACUUGAGCAAGGAACAUUAAACAAUUCAACGAUAAUAAGGAAUCAACGUCUCGCAAGUCAAAAUGUGGAUCACGGUUUUUCACAUGUUAUCCUUGAAGACGUAGCUCGAGUUGUAGGUGUGAUGGUUGACAUGUGCGAAAUAAGGAAAGAGUUGGAUAGCUUCAGAAGAGAUAACGAAGUGGCAGGAAAUAGAAGAAUGGGCCGAGGUUUAUAUCUUGAAAUAAGUUAUUGAGCUAUUAUCUAUGCAAAGACUACGUGUAAUCGAAUGCUAUGAUUCAAGACCCGGUCAACGACCGGGUAUUGAUCUAGUUCCAGUUGGAGGUUAAACUUAACUCAUUUUUCUACCA